Long non-coding RNA from Prionailurus viverrinus (fishing cat), 476 nucleotides. RefSeq lists it as uncharacterized. NCBI's taxonomy places the organism in Eukaryota, Metazoa, Chordata, Mammalia, Carnivora, Felidae. The record is from RefSeq and is a predicted model, not a curated record. The transcript is spliced from 4 exons.
GCUGCUAAAGAGGGAAGGAGGAAACUUUGGGAGCCUCUCUAGCUGCAUUAUUUCCAAAGAGCCAGCACAUCGAUCACAUCCACCUCCAGAUUUCUACUUCUGAUGACACAUGGCUGAGAAUAAGGAUGAGUUUCAUUCAGGCAAAGUCAAAUCCAGGUUACCUGUUACACGGAGACCCCUAAACAAGAUCAUCUGUGGGAUGAAGGUGAGAAGGAAAGAUCGCGUGGCUCUGGGACAGCAUGAACUGGCAUCUAGCUUGCUGACAUGGAAAGCAGCCUGAGCAAGUCCACAGUUUGUUGGCAGUAUCCUGAGGUGAAUUGGCUGUGUGGUUAGCACUCUGAACUUCAGAAGGACAAGGGUUUUGAAAUGCAAAGGAGCAAGAGCAGGACUGCCUGUUAUUUUAUCAACAAGGCAGCCUUGUUUCUCUUGUACCUUUGAAAUAAAAGGUGAGCUUUUCAUCAUCCAAGAAAACUUAC